UGACACAGGGAGGUAGUGACAAUAAAUAUCAGGGGUAGACUUAUGUUUACCUUUUGAAAUGAGAACAAUUUAAAUCCCUUAUCGAGGAUCAAUUGGAGGGCAAGUCUGGUGCCAGCAGCCGCGGUAAUUCCAGCUCCAAUAGCGUAUAUUAAAGUUGUUGCGGUUAAAAAGCUCGUAGUUGGAUUUCUGUUGAAGUCAGCCGGUGCACACUUCGUGUGUUAUUUGGCCUGGCUUUGGCAUCCUCUGGGGGAACGUCUCUGGCCUUAAUUGGACAGGGCGAGAUUCCAGACUUUUACUUUGAGGAAAUUAGAGUGUUCACAGCAGGCAAGUGCUUUGAAUACAUUAGCAUGGAAUAAUAAUAUAGGACCUUCGUUCUAUUUUGUUGGUUUCUAGAGCUAAGGUAAUGAUUAAUAGGGACAAUUGGGGGCAUUACUAUCAAUGCGUCAGAGGUGGAAUUCUUGGAUUGCAUUGCGAGUAACUACUGCGAAAGCAUUUGCCAAGGAUGUUUUCAUUGAUCAAGAACGAAAGUAUGGGGAUCGAAGAUGAUUAGAUACCGUCGUAGUCUAUACCAUAAACUAUGCCGACUAGGGAUUGGAGGUCGUUCUUUUUAUGACUCCUUCAGCACCUUAUGAGAAAUCAAAGUCUUUGGGUUCCGGGGGGAGUAUAGUCGCAAGGCUGAAACUUAAAGGAAUUGACGGAAGGGCACCACCAGGAGUGGAGCCUG
This 724-nucleotide ribosomal RNA is filed under the name uncultured marine eukaryote. RNAcentral describes it as "bacterial SSU rRNA". It matches the Rfam family "Eukaryotic small subunit ribosomal RNA", at positions 452 to 1185 of the family's 1831-position model. The record is from RNAcentral.